GAUGAACGCUGGCGGCGUGCCUAAUACAUGCAAGUCGAGCGAACAGACGAGGAGCUUGCUCCUCUGACGUUAGCGGCGGACGGGUGAGUAACACGUGGAUAACCUACCUAUAAGACUGGGAUAACUUCGGGAAACCGGAGCUAAUACCGGAUAAUAUAUUGAACCGCAUGGUUCAAUAGUGAAAGACGGUUUUGCUGUCACUUAUAGAUGGAUCCGCGCCGCAUUAGCUAGUUGGUAAGGUAAAGGCUUACCAAGGCAACGAUGCGUAGCCGACGUGAGAGGGUGAUCGGCCACACUGGAACUGAGACACGGUCCAGACUCCUACGGGAGGCAGCAGUAGGGAAUCUUCCGCAAUGGGCGAAAGCCUGACGGAGCAACGCCGCGUGAGUGAUGAAGGUCUUCGGAUCGUAAAACUCUGUUAUUAGGGAAGAACAAAUGUGUAAGUAACUAUGCACGUCUUGACGGUACCUAAUCAGAAAGCCACGGCUAACUACGUG
RNAcentral lists this ribosomal RNA (497 nucleotides) under uncultured bacterium. RNAcentral describes it as "partial 16S ribosomal RNA". It matches the Rfam family "Bacterial small subunit ribosomal RNA", at positions 28 to 507 of the family's 1533-position model. The record is from RNAcentral.